Molecule: microRNA precursor, 91 nt
Organism: Gorilla gorilla gorilla (western lowland gorilla)
Lineage: Eukaryota; Metazoa; Chordata; Mammalia; Primates; Hominidae
Gene: MIR450A1
Product: microRNA 450a-1
Source: Ensembl
AAAUGAUACCAAACUGUUUUUGCGAUGUGUUCCUAAUAUGCACUAUAAAUAUAUUGGGAACAUUUUGCAUGUAUAGUUUUGUAUCAAUAUA